UCGGGAAUUUUGGGCAAUGGGCGAAAGCCUGACCCAGCAACGCCGCGUGAAGGAUGAAGUAUUUCGGUAUGUAAACUUCGAAAGAAUAGGAAGAAUAAAUGACGGUACUAUUUAUAAGGUCCGGCUAACUACGUGCCAGCAGCCGCGGUAAUACGUAGGGACCAAGCGUUGUUCGGAUUUACUGGGCGUAAAGCGCGUGUAGGCGGUUCGUUAAGUCGUCUGUGAAAGCCCAUGGCUCAACCAUGGAAGUGCAGCCGAUACUGGCAAACUUGAGUUCUGGAGAGGGUGGCGGAAUUCCCAGUGUAGAGGUGAAAUUCGUAGAUAUUGGGAGGAACACCGGUGGCGAAGGCGGCCACCUGGACAGAUACUGACGCUGAGACGCGAAAGCGCGGGUAGCAAACAGGAUUAGAUACCCAAGUAGUCCCUGAGCGGGCUGGCAAGGCGCAU
RNAcentral lists this ribosomal RNA (447 nucleotides) under uncultured bacterium. RNAcentral's name for it is "bacterial SSU rRNA". It matches the Rfam family "Bacterial small subunit ribosomal RNA", at positions 355 to 825 of the family's 1533-position model. The record is from RNAcentral.